This 253-nucleotide ribosomal RNA is filed under the name uncultured bacterium. RNAcentral's name for it is "partial 16S ribosomal RNA". It matches the Rfam family "Bacterial small subunit ribosomal RNA", at positions 524 to 776 of the family's 1533-position model. The record is from RNAcentral.
UACGUAGGGUGCGAGCGUUAAUCGGAAUUACUGGGCGUAAAGCGUGCGUAGGCGGUUCGUUAAGUUCGUUGUGAAAGCCCCGGGCUCAACCUGGGAAUGGCAAUGGAAACUGGCGGGCUGGAGUAUGGCAGAGGGGGGUGGAAUUCCGCGUGUAGCGGUGAAAUGCUUAGAUAUGUAAUAGAACACCGAUUGCGAAGGCAGUUCACUAUGCUUGUAUUGACACUGAGGCACGAAAGCGUGGGGAUCAAACAGG